RNAcentral lists this ribosomal RNA (411 nucleotides) under uncultured bacterium. RNAcentral's name for it is "bacterial SSU rRNA". It matches the Rfam family "Bacterial small subunit ribosomal RNA", at positions 506 to 916 of the family's 1533-position model. The record is from RNAcentral.
UGCCAGCAGCCGCGGUAAUACGGGGGGAGCAAGCGUUGUUCGGAUUUACUGGGCGUAAAGGGCGCGUAGGCGGCCACCGCAAGUCGACUGUGAAAUCUCCGGGCUUAACUCGGAAAGGUCAGCCGAUACUGCGGGGCUAGAGUGCAGAAGGGGCAACUGGAAUUCUCGGUGUAGCGGUGAAAUGCGUAGAUAUCGAGAGGAACACCUGCGGCGAAGGCGGGUUGCUGGGCUGACACUGACGCUGAGGCGCGAAAGCUAGGGGAGCGAACGGGAUUAGAUACCCCGGUAGUCCUAGCCUUAAACGAUGAAUGCUUGGUGUCUGGGGUUUUAUAGUCCCCGGGUGCCGUCGCUAACGCUUUAAGCAUUCCGCCUGGGGAGUACGGUCGCAAGACUAAACUCAAAGAAUGACGG